CUCCUGGGGGAAGCCCAGCAGCUGAUGGGGGACAAGGUGAGCAGCUGCAUUAGACUCAGGAGAUUGGGGCGGGGUCCAGGCCUCAUUCCCAGCCUAUAGCCAUUCCCUGGCCUGGCAGCAAGGAAACUGGUGGGGAAUGAGAGUGAGAGCAGGUGCUACUGGAAAGGGAAAUGAAUUCACCUUCAUGAGCAGGAGGGAGCCAGCUUGUCCCCGGAGCAGCUCUAACCCAGCUGUUUAGCAAGGCUAAUUAAUGACCAGCAUUGCCUCAUCAUGGACUUAUGUUCUCGGGACACAGUGCUGUCUCUCUUGGGAAGGGCAGCAGAGUCCUCUAAGUGACCCCUGCGAGGCUCUCCUUUCACCUGAACCACCACCCAGAGUUGCUCCGAUCACUGGCAGCCUGGAGGCCAAGGACUGAUGGGUGAUGGCGACUGACCAGACCCUGGGAUCUGUUACAGCCUCCCCGACAGGCGCAUCCUGUAGCUGAGCCAUGUCAGGGAGCAGUGGGGACAGGUCACCUCGUCUCAUCCAAGCAAGCAAUGCUGGCUCUCAAAGAGGCUUAGAUGGAAGACCCCACUCCCUCAUAGAGGAAGGGGCUCCCCAGAGAUGUCCUCAAACCUGGACUCCUGAGAGCGUUUCUGGCAGGAGGCUCCACCCCUCGGACAUAAAGGGAUCAUCAGGUAGUCUGUCCACAUGGCGUCUCCGGUCUCCAACUCCACUUCCCGCAGCAGAGCAAACAAAUCCAUCAGCUCCCAGAAUCCCAACUCUUUGACUUCCUUCCACUCAGCAGUGGGGUUUCUCCAGCCCCCGCACCACACCUGUCAGCCUCUGAAUGAUGAAGAGCCUGAAGGUCAGAGUCACCAGAAGAAGCAAACUCCAGUUCCAGGCAGUGGGGCCUGUGUGUACUCAGCCCCUCUGGAAACCAGGUCUGAAAUGGGAAGCAAGGACCCCAGGCCAAUAACAGUAGGAGUGCAGGAGAGCAGGCCUGUAACAGGGUGCUCUCCCCUGGGCUGCAGAGCCAGGGGCCUAGCCAAGCUGAUUAGAGAAUGAGCCCUAACUGAGAGGCACCAUGUACCUCCCCCUAAAGAGCUAGACUUCAUUGGUGACACAGUCCAGCUGUGGUAUCAACAGGUAGGAGAAUGAGGUAGUUCAGAGCAGCAAGGAAACUUGAGAAGAGAGGUAGGAAGUGCCCUGGGAAACCUACAGCAAAGAAAAAGACGCAGACCUAGCUGUUGGGUACAGGGUCCUGGUCUGCUAACAAUGUCAGGGUGGGAUUCGGUUCCUCUACUGGCCUCAAAGAAGGAGGUGUACACACACCCAGAGAGGGUUACCAAGCCCAGCAAGGGGGCUGCAGGCUGAGCAAGAGCCCCAGCGAUGGUUGAAGGACUUCUUUCUGUGGAAAGACCUCUUGGGACUUCUAGUGUGAGACAAGCUGGGCCACAGACGGGUGGUGACCUGGCCAAAGGGCUGAAUUACCAGGCAGAGAAACUGCCAUGGUGCUGGAGCGACCAUGGAUAGGGGACGCUAGUCCAGCAAGAGAGCUGUGAUGCCAUGCCUGGCCGCCAGGGUCGUACGUAAUGAAGAGUAGAUUUGUUUAUGAUUGGCAUAGUCAGGAGGAUUGAAUUCUACUUGUGAUCCAUGAGGACUGAUAGAAGUCUUGGUUGCUGAAGGAAGGCCUGUCCUCCCAAGUGGGUGUAUCGAGGGACCGAGCCAGUUGCUGGAUUUCCCAUUUCAGUUCCAGGGACUGGUUAAGCAGCCAAAGCAGGUCUAGGGGUUCCUCCAGCAGCUCCUAGAAAACCAACAGGAGCAGAAGGAAGUGCAGGCAGAACUACAGAUGCAGCAGAAAGCAAGACCUGUGAGAGAUCUUGCAAAGGGAAUGCCCAUGGACAAAAAGAGCAGACACGGAGAGCAUGCCUGGGCUGUGCGGAGAAGGUUAGCCGAGGAAAGCAGGGCAUGAGAAAGUGUACAAGCGUGGCCUAAUGCCAAGAUGGGGACAAGAGUUCUUUGUUUUGAGUGCAGAGAAGCAGGCCAUAUCAAAAGACAUGGCCUGCUUAGGAAAUUGCUGAGUGGCAAAAGGAGGGGUCAGGGCCCCAAGAAGUUAGAAAAGAAAGGAGAAGUUGUCCUCUGACACAAACCCCAUGAGGCAGGUAACGUGGAGGUGGCAGGGAUGGCCAUGGACUUUGCAGACCCUCCACCAACACACCUUUUCAGGUGCUGCAGGGAGGUGAAGGACAAAAUGGUUGGCCCAGAGAUGAAGCAGACUGGAGUAGGGACAAACACAAGGGUGGAGCAGACCAUGGUGGGCUCUCCGACUCUGAUGGAAAAGAUUUUUGCGUCUGCAGCGGCAGUAGCGAAAAGACUACAGAAGAAGCUAAAGGCUUCAGAAUAGGCUCUCCAAGCAGCUGUUAAUGGGAAUGAGUGGCUGCAGGAAGAGCGUUGGGAUACUGCAGAAGAGGAGGAUUGCCUCUUCAUUCUGGCUCUGUCCCAGCCUCUCACACAGAUAUAUCCUGCAGCCAGCCCAACUCAGGGAGCAGUGGGAACAGGUCAUCUCAUCCUGUCAAACCAAGCAACAGGGUCCCAUUGAGGCUCAGAUGGAAGAUCCCAUGCUCCUCCUGGAGAGGAUGUGUCCAGGAUCCUGGAGACUGUUUCCUGCAGCAGGAGGUUUGAGCAGGAGAGAUCACUCACUGUCACGACCCAGGGGUCUUCAACCCAGGUCUGCGGGGUUCAUGGGAGCAGCCACGCUCCAACCCUCCACCUGGAAGUCUGCUGAAAAUUGCUUCGCUAGGACCCAUGAAGCUCCGCCCCAAUUUGAGGCUCCACUCCUGAGGUCCUAUUGGAAGAGUCCCAGAAAAGCUAAUUGGCCCCCUGGCCCUGCUUAAGACAGCAGCAGGAACAGGAAGCUGAGUGAAAACCAGGGCUGCUCCCUGUUCUGGACCGUGUGCUGCCUAUUUCUGCUGCCGCUCCCCUGGCUUGGUUUCCUGUCAUCCGAUUUGUGGUUGUGAUCGCAAGUUUGUCUUUUGCUGCUGAUCUUCCAGGAUCCUGACCUAGCUGACUCUCCACUCCUGUCAUGGGAGUGUGGACCCUGGCUCUGACCAGUAGGUCUGGCUGCCCUUGACCCAGCCGUGACAUUGACUUUUGUCCAAUUUCUCCAAUACCCUCUCUUGCUCUUCAGCAAGAUACACUAGUCCCUUGGCUCCCAAAGUCCUAGUUGCCCGCUAUUCAAGGGCUGAGGGGCAGUGCUUGUAUUGCCCCCACCCCCAACCCCACCCCAGCUACUUUUCCGAUGGGAAUCUCCCUAGAGCUGAGGAGAAAUCUGCUCCUCUCUUAGGAUCAGUCCCAGCAGUAAUUCCACCCCCCCUGGCCUCAGCUCAGCUACUUUGUUUACCUGGGUUCAGGGACCACUUUUGAAGCCCUUAGCAUGUGGGUGGAGGUGGGAGCAGAGGCUGAAGCUCUAGCAGUUUCCACCAAAGAGCACCACCCUAUCUUUCUAUGGUCUGGCUAGGGCUCACCAUCCAUGUUCGAGCUGAACACCAGAUGGGAGCUGAUAGAUUGUCCUUGACGGGCAAUGUUCUUGUGUGUGAUGGAGCUGUGUGUCAGAGAGGGCCAGGAGCAGAUGCACCACGCCUGGCCAGGACCGGGCUAAACAGCCUGUAAUGUUAGACAGUCAGCCAGUGAGGCCAGUUUGCAGAAUGUGGAAGAGCCCUUUGGCGAUGCGUUGGAGGAUUCACCAUGGAGGUGGCAGCAGCUGCAGUGCCUGGGGUCCCCAUGGGCCAAGUCUCCACUCCUGGCACUGCAGGCUAAUCCCCCACUGCUCUCAGUGGGGCUUGGCUUUAGCUGCGGGGCCUGUGUGCCUAGACAGAGGAGUCAGGUAUUUCCAUCAGGCUGCUCAAUGGCAAAUGCGGCCACCCAAAGAAGUGAAGAAGAAUGGAAGUAAAAUAGCAAAGCUGGACCAUCCGCUGAGCUGCUGCUGCAAUCAAGUGAGCAGAGGCAGGGAGAGAAGAAGGAGAACUCAAAGGUGGCUGGUGGCAGUAGGGAGGAGAAGCAGUUUGGGAACCAGGAGAGUAGAAAUAAAUAGCUAAUGACAAAUACUGCGGGCAUUGUCUUGUGUGAUGAAGGGUUGAAAAGGGGUCUCUUUACUAUCACACUUAACUUUAAAAUAUCUGUGUAUGGUGAAAGGGCAGGUCUAUAAAAGUAACAGGUCACUCUAGGGGCUUGAUAUCCCAGAUUCUGACCCUAUUGCCUGCUUCUACCAGUGAUCUCAUCCCAGCAAAUCCCUCAGGUAGUAGAAGUAUUGAGCUCUUGUCCUCCUUUUCUGGACUAGCCCCCAGAAAAAGGACAUGAUGCAUGUGACCAAGGAAAUAGAGAGGCAGUGUUGCCUGUUAAUAUGGCUCUUGUGGGGGAGCACGGCAGGUUACUUUGGACUAGGUAGGAGCCACAUGUCUCCAAACCUGCACAUCCUGAGGCUCCAGAGACCUCUCUCCAGAUCCCAGAGCUUCCUCAGAGUCCUAAAGAGCCAGAUGGAAUCUGGCCUCUCUCCCCCCACCUCAGCAGUCCAGAAAAAGUUAGUUGUAGACAUGUUAUGUGUCCCUCUCCUGCCACACUCACCUGUUGGUGACUAAUGCAGUCCCAGAGUCCAGGCUCGGUGUCAUGCAUUCCUCUGGGCUAUGACAAGCAGGAGGAUGUGAGCUGCAAUGGAUCCUCCUGCGUAUGUGCUGACUGCGCAAUGUCUCUACUGCCAUAUCUGGUUUCCAGCCCACAU
Molecule: long non-coding RNA, 4756 nt
Organism: Dermochelys coriacea (leatherback sea turtle)
Lineage: Eukaryota; Metazoa; Chordata; Testudines; Dermochelyidae
Exons: 6
Source: RefSeq, a predicted model, not a curated record